GGGCGAAUAGCUCAGCGGCAGAGCGCUUCGUUUACACCGAAGAUGCCGGGGGUUCGAAUCCCUCUUCGCCCACCC
This 75-nucleotide transfer RNA is filed under the name Chthonomonadales bacterium. RNAcentral describes it as "tRNA-Val". It matches the Rfam family "tRNA". Rfam says of the family: Transfer RNA (tRNA) molecules are approximately 80 nucleotides in length. The record is from RNAcentral. Lineage: Bacteria; Bacillati; Armatimonadota; Chthonomonadia; Chthonomonadales.